This 235-nucleotide ribosomal RNA is filed under the name uncultured Enterobacter sp. RNAcentral describes it as "partial 16S ribosomal RNA". It matches the Rfam family "Bacterial small subunit ribosomal RNA", at positions 680 to 918 of the family's 1533-position model. The record is from RNAcentral. Lineage: Bacteria; Pseudomonadati; Pseudomonadota; Gammaproteobacteria; Enterobacterales; Enterobacteriaceae.
GGUGAAAUGCGUAGAGAUCUGGAGGAAUCCCGGUGGCGAAGUGGCCCCCUGGACAAAGACUGACGCUCAGGUGCGAAAGUGUGGGGAGCAAACAGGAUUAAUACCCUGGUAGUCCAUGCCGUAAAAGAUGUUGACUUGGAGGUUGUGCCCAUGAGGCGUGCUUCCGGAGCUAACGCGUUAAGUCGACCGCCUGGGGAGUACGGCCGCAAUGUUAAAACCAAAUGAAUUGACGGGG